UACGUAGGGUGCGAGCGUUGUCCGGAAUUAUUGGGCGUAAAGAGCUCGUAGGCGGCCUGUUGCGUCGGUUGUGAAAGCCCGGGGCUUAACCCCGGGUCUGCAGUCGAUACGGGCAGGCUAGAGUUCGGUAGGGGAGAUCGGAAUUCCUGGUGUAGCGGUGAAAUGCGCAGAUAUCAGGAGGAACACCGGUGGCGAAGGCAGAUCUCUGGGCCGUAACUGACGCUGAGGAGCGAAAGCAUGGGGAGCGAACAGG
RNAcentral lists this ribosomal RNA (253 nucleotides) under uncultured bacterium. Its description in RNAcentral is "partial 16S ribosomal RNA". It matches the Rfam family "Bacterial small subunit ribosomal RNA", at positions 524 to 776 of the family's 1533-position model. The record is from RNAcentral.